UUAUUGUUUGCAGACUUUUUGAUGAUGGCCAUUCUGAAUGGUGUAAGGUGUUACCUCAUAAUAGUUUCGAUUUGCAUUUCUCUAAUAAUCAGUGAUGUUGAGCAUCUUUUCGAGUGUUUUUUGGCCAAAUGUCUUCUUUGGAGAAAUGUGUAUUUAGAACUUAUGCCCAUUUUUUAAUUGGCUUGUUUGUUUGUUGUUGUUGUUGUUUGGUAUUGAGCUGCAUGACUUAUUGGUAUAUUUUGGAGAUUAAACCCUCCCAGAACCCAGGCAUUUUUAUCCAGAAAAGGAAAAAGAGGCGACAUCCAAUUUGGCAUGGAUUCAUUGACUAACUACUUGGUGCCAGAGAUCUUCUAGGCACAGAAGAUAUACUGUGUCUUAGUGUGCUAGGACCAUCAUAACAAAAUACCACAAGCUGGGUGACUUAAACAACAGAUAUUCAUUUCUCACUGUUCUGGAGGCUUCAAGUCGAAGAUCAAGGUGUUGGCAGGGCUGUUUUCCUCUGAGGCCUCUCUUCUUGGCUUGAAGACAGCCUCCUUCUUGUUGCCUCUUCACAAAGUCACCCCCACAAAAUCAUCCCUGGUUGCUCUUCCUCUUCUUAUAAGGACACCAGUCCUAUUUGAUUUAUGUCCAUUCUAAUAGCCUUAUUUAACUUAAUCACCCCUUUAAAGACCUCAUCUUCAAAUAUGGUCACAUUCUGUGAUGCUGGGGGUUAGAGCUUCAACAUAUGAAUUUGGGUUGGGGGAAUAUAAUUCAGCCCAUAACAUGCAUAAAUAAGAAAAAUUCCCUACCAUCUCUGGGAGCUCAGAGAGGUUAUACAACUCCUAUAAUCUAAGGCAGUUUUCAGAUAUUGUGUAGGCAAACUAGCUUGCUAUGUAGAAAAGAUAAAAGCUCUGAUGUCUCUAUUUGCAGAAGCAAGGGCAGUAACCACACCUCACUCCAGGACCUCCAGGGAUUUCUCAAACCCUGAGCAGGGCUAACUGUGAGACCUUGAAAAGUAAUAAGACCUAGUGUUAAUUAAGUGCUUAUUGUGGGCCAGGCACUCUUCUAAAAAUAUGAGCACAUUAAUUCUGGCAUCAUCCUGUUUUACAGUUGGGAAGGAGAGCGCAGAGAAGGAUGUCACUUCCCUCCCACAUGGGCUGACUCCGGAGCCCAAGACUUUUGCUGAGCUGUCCCAUUGGCUCUUUGGAAGGCAAAUAUACCUGAUUCCAGGGUCAUCAAAUCUGAUGAUGACAGUGAUGGUGGUGAUGAUACAGAAACGCUUUAUCUCUCAGCUUCCUGCAGGGGAUGGCUGCUUCCUCUAAACCGUUUUCUAUUUCAUGUUGUCAGUCCUAUUAUAAUAAUAUAAGUGCUUAUAAGUGCUCUUUAUUGUAAGACAUUCAUUGUAAGACAUUGUAAUGCCUUAGAAGGAAAUGGGGUUGUCAUUAUGAAGAAAUACAACUUUCCUAAGCAGGCCCCCUUUAUUCAGGACAGGGAGAGGUAGACAGACAAAAUACAAGAACGUUUGCUCAAGACAUGGUCUAGGUGCUCAGUAAGUGUUAGAAGACUCUGUGAGACCAUUCGCACUGUCAGUCCUGGCUGUGCUUCUGUCCCACCAUAUUGUAUGACACAUCAAGCCAACUACAUAAAUUUUCUGAGCAUCGGUUUCCUUGUCUGUAAAGCAAUGGAUCCCAUAGGUGUAGGGGGGGGUGUUUGCCUGCAUUAAAUGCCUUGCCCAGAACCUGGAACAUGGUGGAACCCAGUAUGCAUUUGUCCUCUUCUACACCCCAAGUACUUGGAUGGGACAUCACAGAGGGCACUGUCUUCUCUAGGGUCCCUCCAUCUGGGCCACUCCAGUGUGGUUCUGUGCUGCCUCCAUCUGGUGGGUAGAGAGCUGAGGGCUUUGAAGUGUGGUCAGAUUACCCUGCCUGUGGGCGCCUCGCUGAGGACAGAAUACAUUCCUCUGAAGGCAUAAUUAAGCAUCAUUUGCAUUUCUUAUAAAGAGCAGAUGCUCAUUUCCAUCAACAAAUGUUCCCAUAUGGUCUUGGCCUUGUUGCAAUUUCCCUCAAGGGCUGGAGUUGAGUUUUGCAAUUAAAGGUGUCCCUUGGCCACACCAGAAAAGGAACUGAGUUUCCACUUGGCCUGGAGACUCUUUGUUCCAUCUCAGACAUGAGGGAAGCCAGCCUGCCUGGACCCAAAGUUCCGACCAUCUUUCCACUCAGGGGGAGAGAUGAGGUCAGCACAGGCUCACUUCCAUACACCGUUCCCCCCUUGGGGAGCCCCUGGGAUUCCAUACACCCUCCUCCCCCCUCCCAGAAUUGGCUAUAAAAUGGAGAAUUGGAUGCACAGAUUGUGAGCCCUCUUCAAUAAAACAUACAAAAGGGACCCUCCCUCCAUGAGCUUCCCAGGUCUCCCUUCAUCCAGCAUCCUCGGGCCCAGCUGCUCAGAAUCCUGAGGGGGCUUCUAGAAGCCUCCACCUACCUGGUGAUGGGACUUCACUUCGUUGCUGGCCCAGCCCUCGCUCCUCCGAUUCAUUGUUCCUUUUCCCAGUCUGUCCUGGCCUCACUCCUUGAAUGUGGCACAUGCUUUAAUCUUCCUGACCAUGCUUGGCUUCCUCCUGACACAACACCCCCUCCCCCUCCCAAGACAGCAUCCACAUCUGUAGGUAACUGCAUUUGAGACAUGGUCCCAUCCCAGCAGUCACUAGGGCUUUCCUGCUUCCCAAGAACAGUUCCCAGCCUGCCAUCCCAGCCAACUAGUUUGGCUUCUCUGUUGAGAACACAGCCUUGUCCUGCCAUUUUUCCCAGAAGUGACCACCAGAGGGUGCCAAUUACCUCUCUCCUCCUCGUGCAAUGCCCCCUGCUAACUUGUGCUCCCAGGCACAUGGCCCCCUCUGCUCCCUUAGUGGUUAGUGGUCCAGGUCUUCCCUUGACCUUCCUUUUCCAUCACAGAUUCUCUUGUGUCCCAUUCCCCCAGGGUUUGCACGGGCUCUGAAUCUUUUCACUGGCAGUGUGAACUGGGUAUACUUCUCAACCAGUCUGAACCUCAGGCUCCUUGAAUGUAAACUGGUGUGUGGGAAGUGGGGUGCAGGUAACAGCUGUAUCGUUAGUUGUUACUGGUGAGUCCAUGAGAUAAAUAGAAAAGUCUCAUUCCCCUUUUCUGAGUGGCAGGAAAUCUCUAAGAUGGGAUGUGAGGCAGGAAGGGGGCUGUCUCUCCUUCAGGUCUCUUCAUAAGGACAAGGAGAAGUGUCCCAGGAGUCCCCAGACCUCCCCUCACGCCUUGAUGGCCCCAAAUAGGCCCCUAUUAACAUCCAUCAACAACAAAGGUUCUGGGAACCCAUGACUGACUUAGACCCAUCAGGAUGUUCUCCUUGGCUGGGGCUGAGAUGAACACCCCUUGAAGCCCAGAGUGAAGGCGGGAGAUGCUUGUUCUGAAUCGAAAGAGGAGGGGAAGGUGGGUGAGAAAUGCAUGUUGAGUGGGCAACCAGCAGCAUCAGCUACACCUGGCAAGCUUAUGUUCCCCAUAUGGCUGUAGGGUUCUUUCCACCAGACCUUUAGAUCACGCCUAAACAUCCAUCCAUGUCGUAGGCAAAGUUUGGCAAGAGGUGCCAGAAUGCAGCAACCCACCAAUGUUCUGGUCUGUGCCUCUGACGUCAGUAGCACAAAGGGUACAAACAGCUCAGUCAGCUUUCCCAAUGGGUGCAUAACUUGGGAAGUGGCUUUUUGAAAGGUGGUUUUAGGAAAACUGGGGGGAAAAAAGCAGGCACACUUCCCUGCUGUGAGUCCAUGGGCCAGACUCCUGGACGAUGCCCCUAAAGCACUCAAUAGCUGGUUUUCUUGGCCAGAGCCUCUCAGGUGCCCUCCAGGUCGGCCCCAAAGUAGAAAAUCCCAUUUACUACCUUUUUAACAGGAAAAGGGCCUGAGAGCAUGCUUCCAAUCAGGCCAGUUGGUUUAACUCCAUAAAAUCUCGUUAAGCAACUGUUAAAUGCUGAGAUCCACAAAAUCUGCCUGUUCUUUGUGGUCAGUCUCUAUCCACUGCAUGCUCUGCAUGAGCCACCAAGAUGGUAGCCCAGGCCUUUUUAGGUCCACUUGUGGAAAGCCGUUGAGCUCUGGCAGCAGGAAGUGAGUCUCCUUUGGACCCAGUCCUUAUAUGGGGAGCCUCAGCCAUUUUCCUGUGAUCUGCAGGCCUGGGGCAGGGGCCUCUGGAUUGGGGUGGAAGAAAUAACUUGGGGGAGGGGCAGGCCAGGGGUGGGAAACUUGUCCUGGCUGAGGAUUCCUGGGACAGUUCUCCUUGUCCUUAUAAGAGACCUAAAGGAGAGACGGCCCCUUGCUGCUUCAUAAACUUAUAUCUAAAUAUGAUGCCUGGACCUGCUUUAGCCACCUUGUGACCAGGCAGCGUAGGGAUGGUUCAGACACAUGGAGAAGUGCAAAGCUAAGAGAUUCGCAGAGAAGCAGAACCAGAGGCAGGUGUCCGCCUGGGCUUGUCCUGCCUAUGACCUUCCUAUUAAGCUAGCUGAGUUGAGGUUGGCCAUGCAGGUACCUAUUUGAUAUAUAGGAUGUAUGAUUGGUCAAGUUGACUAAUACCAUGCCCACCCCUACUGGGGCCCAUAGGAAGAAAUCUUAUUACUUUAUUCAUAGGGGCAGCUAAUAGAAUUGUAACAAUGGGGUUCUGUAUUAUUUUAUAUACAUUAAAAAUAUUUUUGGUUGCAUGGAACAGUCAGCCAACUUGAAGAAGGUUUAAAUGCUAAUGAGAAUUUAUUGUCAGAAUAUGGGCCUGUCUGACAAUGCCCAAAGCUUGGAGUGUGGUUUUGGCCUUGAGAACACACUGGAACCAAGGUUUCAGAUGCCCUCAGGACACCCCUUCUGUACUGGGUUGAGUAGUGUCCGCAAAGGCACAUGUUUCAGAAUUGACCUAAUUUGAGGAGUUCCUGUUGUGGCUCAGCGGGUUAAGGACCCGACCUUGUCUCUGUUAAGGAUGCAGGUUUGAUCCCUGGCCUCACUCAGUGGGUUAGGAUGUGGCAUUGCCACAAGUUGUGGUGUAGUUCAUAGAUAUGGCUCAGAUGCAGUGUUGCCAUGGCUGUGGCAUAAACCGGCAGCUGCAGCCCUAAUUUGACCACUUGCCUGGGAACUUCCAUAUGCUGCAGGUAUGGACUUCCCAUGUGGCUCACAACAUAUGCUGUAAG
Molecule: long non-coding RNA, 5158 nt
Filed under: Sus scrofa (pig)
Lineage: Eukaryota; Metazoa; Chordata; Mammalia; Artiodactyla; Suidae
Description: lncRNA (ENSSSCG00000059437.1)
Source: RNAcentral